Molecule: unclassified non-coding RNA, 335 nt
Filed under: soil metagenome
Description: partial contains 5.8S ribosomal RNA, internal transcribed spacer 2, and large subunit ribosomal RNA
Rfam family: 5.8S ribosomal RNA (bases 1-120)
Source: RNAcentral
GAUGAAGAACGUAGCGAAAUGCGAUAAGUAGUGUGAAUUGCAGAAUUCAGUGAAUCAUCGAAUCUUUGAACGCACAUUGCGCCCGCCAGUAUUCUGGCGGGCAUGCCUGUUCGAGCGUCAUUUCAACCAUCAAGCCCCCGGCUUGUGUUGGGGACCUGCGGCUGCCGCAGGCCCUGAAAAGCAGUGGCGGGCUCGCUGUCACACCGAGCGUAGUAGCAUACAUCUCGCUCUGGGCGUGCUGCGGGUUCCGGCCGUUAAACCACCUUCAUAACCCAAGGUUGACCUCGGAUCAGGUAGGAAGACCCGCUGAACUUAAGCAUAUCAAAAGCGGAGGA